Camelina sativa (false flax) is the source of this 1251-nucleotide long non-coding RNA. RefSeq lists it as uncharacterized. Lineage: Eukaryota; Viridiplantae; Streptophyta; Magnoliopsida; Brassicales; Brassicaceae. The record is from RefSeq and is a predicted model, not a curated record.
CUUCAUUCAUUUACUUACCUCUCGUCUCUCUUUCUAUUAUAAUAAUGUAUAUUAUUAUAGAUAUAUAUACACAUACAUAUAUAAUAUAAUAUUAUUAUAUAUUUGUGUUAUAUUUUAUAAUACGUUAUUAGUACGAUGUCUUUAUUGCUGGAGCUUUUAUGAGAUAAGUAAAUUUAUAUUGUUUUCAUAUAUAUUUAUAAAACAUAAAUAUUAUAGACAUCGUGAAAUUAUGCUUUUUUUCGGAUUGAUCAUCGUAAAUUUUAGACGUUAUCUCCUUUACGAUCAAAUCUAUAGCUAAAUCAUAUCCGGAUAGAUCAUUAGAUGGUAGGCUCUGCCUCCUUUACGAUCAAAUAAAAGCUAUGUCUUUUUCAGAUAGAUAGAUCGUUAUAUAUGGAAGGUUAUGCCUCCUUCUAGAUCUAACAAAAGACUAUGUCUUUUCCAGAAAGAUCGUUAAAAAUAGAAAGUUAUGCCUCCUAUAUGAUCAAAUAUAAAGGCUAUGUCAUUUUCUGGAUUGAUCGUUAUAAUGCGAUCAAAUAUAUAGCUAUGUUAUAUCUGAAUUGAUUGUUUAAUAUAUGGUAGGCUUUGCCUCCUUCACAAUCAAAUAAAAGCUACUCCCUCCGAUAUGAAAUAAGUGUCGUUCUGGAAAAAUUCUCUUAGAUUAAGAAAGUGAACAAUUUGACUAUUUUAACCUCAGAAAACUCAAGAGGAAAGAAAAAAAUGACUUCACCAAGCAAACGCAGAGAAAUGGAAAUGAUGAAACUGAUGAUGAGCGAGGGACAAACCUUGGGAUCAUCUCUAAUCUUUGGUAUUUGAUUAGUACAGAAGCAACAUGACUCGGAUUUUGGUUCAACGUGGUUCGUCAGGCAGUUCUUCCAACUCAACCCGCUCUUCUUCCUCUUCUGGCUCAGCUUCUUCCUCAGAACAGAGUCACAGAUAAACAAUAAUACUCCAGUAACGAUCGAUGAAGAAAUUACUGAUGAAAAAAAGAAGAUGAGGUUUCCGUUGUUGAUCAACCAGAGUGUUUUGAUGCUAAGAAUGUCGUAGUGGACAGUGAUGUACCUGUGGAUAGAGAAGAUGAUGAAAGUUUGGUAGUUUCAGAAAAUGUUCAUGUUGAGAGUGAAGGUAUAAAUUGUGAUUCUCCGUAAGUGGUGGCAGUAACCCUGAUUCCAUUUUGCUGUUUUUCAUGUUUAUGACUAACCCUCAAACCCAAUAUAUAUAUUCAUGAAUGACUCUUCAUAUUAUGUCUCUUGA